GGGGAUGUAGCUCAGCUGGCUAGAGCGCUUGACUGGCAGUCAAGAGGUCGUCGGUUCGAGUCCGAUCUUCUCCACCA
Molecule: transfer RNA, 77 nt
Filed under: Flavobacteriaceae bacterium
Lineage: Bacteria; Pseudomonadati; Bacteroidota; Flavobacteriia; Flavobacteriales; Flavobacteriaceae
Also listed under: 1 other name
Description: tRNA-Ala(ggc)
Rfam family: tRNA
About the family: Transfer RNA (tRNA) molecules are approximately 80 nucleotides in length. Their secondary structure includes four short double-helical elements and three loops (D, anti-codon, and T loops).
Source: RNAcentral